UAUAAUGAUGUUAGUUCGGCGGCAGAAAGUUUUAGAUUCCGGACAAUCAAAACCAAAAGGAACACAAUCAGGAGAUCCCAUGCAAGUCUGGUAGGACAACCAGCAAUGCCAGGUACUCAGAUAGUCUGAGAUAAAAAACAGGAUGAAGAGUUGCCAAGAAUUACUUCAUUUAAUGAGAUCAGAUGAGAGGAUGAGCAAAGAGAGCUACAGUCAAUAGAGAGUGCCCGCAGCAGCCACUGUUGCUCUUAGUAAGUGCACCGCAGAGGACGUCAGGAGAACGUCAACCCCACUGAGAGCCCCUGCACCUGAGCCUUCUGACAAGAUAAGAAGAACAAGUUGGAAAGGAGCUCAGAUCAGAAUAAAGCGGUCUACUAGUUUCUAUGCCCUUUCCUCUCUCUAGGGGACUACAAGCUUCAUCUGGACCUGGCUUGACUUGAGAGUUUUCUGUUCUGGUUUGUUGUGGAGAAACAUAUGGCGAGCAAUUAUUCAUCCUUAUCUGUGAUUCAUUGGGAAGAAAAUAAGAAAUGUACAUGUGAGAUCAAGAGAACCCAGCACUGAAAUAAAGAAAAUGUCAUGUUUUCACAGUCCUGCUGAUGAGUAAAUUGUGUUAAUACGGCCUGAAGUAUGAUUUGUUGACUGUGAGGGGGCUCGCUGCUCGGAGUCCCCCCGUGAAUUUCUGUUUUUGUCAGGGGGAACUGAUAUCUUAAUGCUUAAAGGGGUACUCCAGUGCUUCAGCGUUUUAAAUAUUUCGUUCAGAACACUCGGAGCAGGAGGCUGUGAUCGUGACGUCAUGGCGACGCCCCUUUGUGAAGUCAUUUCAUGCCCCCUCCAUUCAUGUAUAUGGGUGGGGACAUGCCACA
This is a long non-coding RNA of Hyla sarda, 860 nucleotides long. RefSeq lists it as uncharacterized. The record is from RefSeq and is a predicted model, not a curated record. Lineage: Eukaryota; Metazoa; Chordata; Amphibia; Anura; Hylidae. The transcript has 3 exons.